This is a small nuclear RNA of Suricata suricatta (meerkat), 107 nucleotides long. Lineage: Eukaryota; Metazoa; Chordata; Mammalia; Carnivora; Herpestidae. The record is from Ensembl.
CUGCUCGUUUCGGCAGCACAUAUACUAAAAUUGGAAUGAAACAGAGAAGAUUAGCAUGGCCCCUGCACAAGGAUGACAUGCAAAUUCGUGAAGUGUUUGUAUUUUUG